GCGAUUGUAGCUUAAUACAAAGCGUCGGUCUUGUAAUCCGGAGAUAAAAUAAUAAUUUCUUUCGCU
RNAcentral lists this transfer RNA (66 nucleotides) under Pachychilus sp. Its description in RNAcentral is "tRNA-Thr". It matches the Rfam family "tRNA". Rfam says of the family: Transfer RNA (tRNA) molecules are approximately 80 nucleotides in length. Their secondary structure includes four short double-helical elements and three loops (D, anti-codon, and T loops). The record is from RNAcentral. Lineage: Eukaryota; Metazoa; Mollusca; Gastropoda; Pachychilidae.